This 433-nucleotide ribosomal RNA is filed under the name uncultured bacterium. Its description in RNAcentral is "partial 16S ribosomal RNA". It matches the Rfam family "Bacterial small subunit ribosomal RNA", at positions 29 to 507 of the family's 1533-position model. The record is from RNAcentral.
AACGAACGCUGGCGGCAGGCCUAACACAUGCAAGUCGAGCGAGGACUUCGGUCCUAGCGGCGGACGGGUGAGUAACGCGUGGGAACGUGCCCUUUGCUUCGGAAUAGCCCUGGGAAACUGGGAGUAAUACCGGAUGAGCCCUUUGAGGGAAAGAUUUAUCGGCGAAGGAUCGGCCCGCGUUGGAUUAGGUAGUUGGUGGGGUAAUGGCCUACCAAGCCGACGAUCCAUAGCUGGUUUGAGAGGUUGAUCAGCCACACUGGGACUGAGACACGGCCCAGACUCCUACGGGAGGCAGCAGUGGGGAAUCUUAGACAAUGGGGGAAACCCUGAUCUAGCCAUGCCGCGUGAGCGAUGAAGGCCUUAGGGUUGUAAAGCUCUUUCAGCUGGGAAGAUAAUGACGGUACCAGCAGAAGAAGCCCCGGCUAACUCCGUG